CAGCAGCCGCGGUAAUACGAAGGGGGCUAGCGUUGCUCGGAAUUACUGGGCGUAAAGGGCGCGUAGGCGGACAGUUCAGUCGGGGGUGAAAGCCCGGGGCUCAACCUCGGAAUUGCCUUCGAUACUGGCUGUCUUGAGUAUGAGAGAGGUGUGUGGAACUCCGAGUGUAGAGGUGAAAUUCGUAGAUAUUCGGAAGAACACCAGUGGCGAAGGCGACACACUGGCUCAUUACUGACGCUGAGGCGCGAAAGCGUGGGGAGCAAACAGGAUUAGAUACCCCCGUAGUCCCUGUCUCUUAUAC
This 301-nucleotide ribosomal RNA is filed under the name uncultured bacterium. Its description in RNAcentral is "partial 16S ribosomal RNA". It matches the Rfam family "Bacterial small subunit ribosomal RNA", at positions 509 to 807 of the family's 1533-position model. The record is from RNAcentral.